Nothoprocta perdicaria is the source of this 113-nucleotide long non-coding RNA. RefSeq lists it as uncharacterized. The transcript is spliced from 3 exons. The record is from RefSeq and is a predicted model, not a curated record. Lineage: Eukaryota; Metazoa; Chordata; Aves; Tinamiformes; Tinamidae.
CCAGCAAGUGCCACAGCGAGAGCUUCCCCUGCAAGUCCCCAUAAGGGUGGACAAGAUGACCUAAAGUAUCUUCUAACUCAAAUUUCUUCCAUUAAGGAAAUAUGAAAAACUGU